CUCCUCCACACAGGUAUUUACCAGACUGUUCUUUCACUGACUGUCUAGAAAGAGGAGGCAGAGUGACCCUACCCCAUAGACACCUCAACCCAGGCCCUGUGCCUGGUCUGUAUUGUGAAUGGGGGGAGAGGG
Molecule: small nucleolar RNA, 132 nt
Filed under: Dasypus novemcinctus (nine-banded armadillo)
Lineage: Eukaryota; Metazoa; Chordata; Mammalia; Cingulata; Dasypodidae
Description: Small nucleolar RNA SNORA51 (ENSDNOG00000045285.1)
Rfam family: Small nucleolar RNA SNORA51
About the family: ACA51 is a member of the H/ACA class of snoRNA that guide the sites of modification of uridines to pseudouridines.
Source: RNAcentral